GUCAGCAAGUAUGUCUGUAACAAUACAGACACACAAAAAUUCCCCCAGGAGAAUUAAAGAGACCCCUAUGACAACCCAGUUCCUUUUUCUCUGCCCCCUUACCUCCACCCCAC
This is a long non-coding RNA of Dermochelys coriacea (leatherback sea turtle), 113 nucleotides long. RefSeq lists it as uncharacterized. NCBI's taxonomy places the organism in Eukaryota, Metazoa, Chordata, Testudines, Dermochelyidae. The record is from RefSeq and is a predicted model, not a curated record. The transcript has 3 exons.